Molecule: long non-coding RNA, 169 nt
Organism: Apis dorsata (giant honeybee)
Lineage: Eukaryota; Metazoa; Arthropoda; Insecta; Hymenoptera; Apidae
Exons: 3
Source: RefSeq, a predicted model, not a curated record
UAUACAUAUAUAUAUAUAUAUACUUCAAGAAACUCGAAGAUUGACGAAGAUAAAAAAAAAAAAAAAGAAAGCGAAACGCAAGAAUGGAACGAGGCGAACCCAUUUUGUAGAGAAGAGAAACCAGUUUUCCAGACGCACGUUUGUUCUAAUGCAGAAUAGAAGGUAAAAA